UUCUGUGAGCAAACACCUCUCAGCGUGAGGAGGGGAUGGAAAUGCUGGGCGGGCUGGAGAGCCACGGGCAGCUCCCGAGUCCCGCGCCGCUGAGAGGGCAUUGCGAAGGCUCGUGGACAGAUGUAAUCUGCUCUCCUCAAAAGCAUGGAACGAACGCAUCUCACCUCAAGUAACAUGAAGAAAGGAAAUGAAUGCGAGUGGAGUCGGUGAAGUUGAAAUAGCAUGGAAUCCAUACUGCUACAGAAUGAACAGUACUGCAAUAUCUCAUUUGGACAAGUUCACAGGCUGCUGUAAGGAAGAAGUAAACUGUUGAUAAAAACUGGUAAAAGAUUUCUCAUCCUCUGCUGGAAGGACUGCCAAGAAGUUUAUGUACAUUUUCCUUUCCCGUAUAAUGCUGUAUGAGCAUGGCUUUCACUUCCAUGGCUUUCAAAAGAAAAUGUUCUAAGCAGUAAGAUGUGGAUCUCAAUCUUUAUUAAAAGUAAAGAAUUAAAUUACUUCUCAGGAACACUCCAGACUGAAAAUUUACAAGUUACAUAAAAAAAAAUCAAAUAUAAUUCUGUCUUUACACAGUGAAGGAGUAUCUACAUUGUCAUUAUAGCAAGGAGUUCCAAUCUAUCCUCAGAAUGCAGAGGUAAAUGUCUGUAUGCACCUGCCUGAGAAGAUAUGAAAACAACAAACAAGUGAUUAAAUGUGAGAUGUCUUAUGUAAUACUUGCAAGAGCUUUUUGUUGUAAAAAUAAAGGAAAUUUAUGUCAUUGAAGUCCUACGCUGUAUUGUCAAACAAAUAAGAAACAGACCAUAAUCAG
Molecule: long non-coding RNA, 805 nt
Organism: Coturnix japonica (Japanese quail)
Lineage: Eukaryota; Metazoa; Chordata; Aves; Galliformes; Phasianidae
Source: RefSeq, a predicted model, not a curated record